Molecule: transfer RNA, 83 nt
Filed under: Podarcis lilfordi (Lilford's wall lizard)
Lineage: Eukaryota; Metazoa; Chordata; Lepidosauria; Squamata; Lacertidae
Description: tRNA.Ile
Rfam family: tRNA (bases 17-75)
About the family: Transfer RNA (tRNA) molecules are approximately 80 nucleotides in length.
Source: RNAcentral
GUGCCUUCUUUGAAGAUAGCUCAGUUGGGUAGAGCAUGGUGCUGAUAACGCCAAGGUUGCAGGUUUGAUCCCUGUAUGGGAUA